CACCGCGGUUAUACGAGAGACCCCAGUUGUUAAAUGCCGGCGUAAAGAGUGGUUAAGGAGAAAUUACGACUAAAGCCGAACGCCCUCAGAGCUGUUAUACGCAUCCGAGAGUAAGAAGUCCAAUCACGAAAGUGGCUUUACAACAUAACCUGACCCCACGAAAGCUAUGACA
Molecule: ribosomal RNA, 172 nt
Filed under: Aphareus furca
Lineage: Eukaryota; Metazoa; Chordata; Actinopteri; Lutjaniformes; Lutjanidae
Description: partial 12S ribosomal RNA
Source: RNAcentral